UACCAGCACCCCGAGUGGUCGGGACGUUUAUUGGGCCUAAAGCAUCCGUAGCCGGUUCUACAGGUCUUCCGUUAAAUCCAGCUGCUUAACAGAUGGGCUGCGGAAGAUACUAUGGAGCUAGGAGGCGGGAGAGGCAAGCGGUACUCGAUGGGUAGGGGUAAAAUCCUUUGAUCCAUUGAAGACCACCAGUGGCGAAGGCGGCUUGCCAGAACGCGCUCGACGGUGAGGGAUGAAAGCUGGGGGAGCAAACCGG
This 253-nucleotide ribosomal RNA is filed under the name uncultured bacterium. RNAcentral describes it as "partial 16S ribosomal RNA". It matches the Rfam family "Archaeal small subunit ribosomal RNA", at positions 474 to 727 of the family's 1478-position model. The record is from RNAcentral.